UACGGAGGGUGCGAGCGUUGUCCGGAAUCACUGGGCGUAAAGGGCGCGUAGGUGGCGCGGGCAGUCAACGGUGAAAGUUCGGGGCUCAACCCUGAAUCGGCCGUCGAUACUCCCGAGCUCGAGCACUGUAGAGGCAGAUGGAAUCCCGGGUGUAGCGGUGGAAUGCGUAGAGAUCCGGAAGAACACCAGUGGCGAAGGCGGCUCACUGGCCCGGUACUGACGCUGAGGUGCGAAAGCGUGGGGAGCAAACAGG
Molecule: ribosomal RNA, 253 nt
Filed under: uncultured bacterium
Lineage: Bacteria
Description: partial 16S ribosomal RNA
Rfam family: Bacterial small subunit ribosomal RNA
Source: RNAcentral